GCUUUAAGCCAUGCAAGUCUCAGUACAAAACUUAAUUAAAGUGAAACCGCAAAAAGCUCAGUAAACCAGUCAUGAUUCACUGGAACGCAUAUGAACUAUACGUGGAUAACUGUGGUAAUUCUAGAGCUAAUACAUGCAACGCAGUCCCGACCGGUAAAAUGGGAAGGACGCUUUUAUUAGAUCAAGACCGAUCGCUGGGCUAGUUCUCGGCGUUUACUUGAUGAAUCUAAAUAACACAUUAGAUCGCAUAGUCUCGUACUGGCGACAUACCUUUCAAAAAUAACUGACUUAUCAACUUACGAUGGUAGACCCUGUGUCUACCAUGGCUCUUACGGGUGACGGGGAAUCAGGGUUCGAUUCCGGAGAGGGAGCCUGAGAAACAGCUACCACAUCCAAGGAAGGCAGCAGGCACGCAAAUUACCCAAUCCCGGCACGGGGAGGUAGUGACAAUAAAUAACGAUACGGGACUCAAUAGAGGCCCCGUAAUCGGAAUGAGUACACUUUAAAUCCUUUAACGAGGAUCCAUUGGAGGGCAAGUCUGGUGCCAGCAGCCGCGGUAAUUCCAGCUCCAAUAGCGUAUAUUAAAGUUGUUGCGGUUAAAAAGCUCGUAGUUGGUACUGCGUGCCACGCUGUCGGUUCGCCGCCUGCCGGUGUAACUGGCAUGCCGUGGCAUGUCCUGUCGGUGGUGAACGGUCUCUCUCAAUCCUCCUCGAGGCUGAGUAGUAGGUCGUUCACCGACUACAUCCUACCGCGGUGCUCUUUACCGAGUGUCGAGGCAGGCCGACACGUUUACUUUGAACAAAUUAGAGUGCUCAAAGCAGGCUAAAAUCUCUGCCUGAAUACUGGUGCAUGGAAUAAUGGAACAGGACCUUGAUUCUAUUUUGUUGGUCUUAAGAACACAAGGUAAUGAUCAAUGUGGACAGGCGGGGGCAUUCGUAUUGCGACGUUAGAGGUGAAAUUCUUGGAUCGUCGCAAGACGCACUAGAGCGAAAGCAUUUGCCAAGUAUGUCUUAAUUGAUCAAGAACGAAAGUUAGAGGCUCGAAGGCGAUCAGAUACCGCCCUAGUUCUAACCAUAAACGAUGCCAGCCAGCGAUCCGCCGAUGUUCCUCCGAUGACUCGGCGGGGAGCUUUACCCCGGGAAACCAAAGCUUUUGGGUUCCGGGGGAAGUAUGGUUGCAAAGCUGAAACUUAAAGGAAUUGACGGAAGGGCACCACAAGAAGUGGAGCCUGCGGCUUAAUUUGACUCAACACGGGAAACCUCACCAGGCCAGGACAUUGGAAGGAUUGACAGAUUGAUAGCUCUUUCUUGAUUCAAUGGGUAGUGGUGCAUGGCCGUUCUUAGUUGGUGGAUCGAUUUGUCUGGUUAAUUCCGAUAACGAACGAGACUCUAGCCAAUUAACUAGACGAUCCUGGUAUCAACGCUACCGGCGAUAUUCAUUCUUCUUAAAGGGACAGGCGGCUUACAGCCGCACGAGAUUGAGCAAUAACAGGUCUGUAAUGCCCUUAGAUGUCCUGGGCCGCACGCGCGCUACACUGAAGGAAUCAGCGUGUUUUUCCUAGGCCGGGAGGCCCGGGUAACCCGCUGAACCUCCUUCGUGCUAGGGAUUGGGGCUUGCAAUUGUUCCCCAUGAACGAGGAAUUUCUAGUAAGCGCGAGUCAUAAGCUCGCGUUGAUUACGUCCCUGCCCUUUGUACACACCGCCCGUCGCUACUACUGAUUGAAUGAUUUAGUGAGGUCUUCGGACUGGCGGUAAUCUUUUUCGGGCUUACUCCGAACUCGAUGAACGCUGGAAAGAUGACCAAACUU
Molecule: ribosomal RNA, 1807 nt
Filed under: Xylastodoris luteolus
Lineage: Eukaryota; Metazoa; Arthropoda; Insecta; Hemiptera; Thaumastocoridae
Description: SSU rRNA
Rfam family: Eukaryotic small subunit ribosomal RNA
Source: RNAcentral